Mycena floridula is the source of this 72-nucleotide non-coding RNA. The record is from the annotation of a GenBank genome assembly. NCBI's taxonomy places the organism in Eukaryota, Fungi, Basidiomycota, Agaricomycetes, Agaricales, Mycenaceae.
GCGAUGAUGGUGUAAUGGUAGCACGCCCCACUGCACAAUAUGGAUGGCUCUGGUUAGAUUCCAGGUGUCGUC